Penaeus chinensis is the source of this 441-nucleotide long non-coding RNA. RefSeq lists it as uncharacterized. The transcript is spliced from 5 exons. The record is from RefSeq and is a predicted model, not a curated record. Lineage: Eukaryota; Metazoa; Arthropoda; Malacostraca; Decapoda; Penaeidae.
AUUCGUUGGCAAUAUAUAAACUUGAAGUUCAGAAAUCCUUAUUCGCAGGCCUGUCUCCCAAAAGUCAAGAUGAUAUUUUGUAUCAAAGGUGAUCUACAACAAAAGAUGAGUAAUGAAUAAUGAGUGUCUCCAAUAACCUCAAUAACAACAGCCUGUCGCAUAUGCAUGUUAUUCGACACUUAAACCAUCGAUCUAAAUAUCGAGAACUGUUGCUGGUGCUCCUUUUUGUGGGCCUUACUGCAGCAAUGAGAGGAGGCCGCCCGGAUUUUUACCCGCCUCCUAUUCAUCGAUAAUAUAUUACCAUAGAUUACCAUGAAGAUGAUAUUCCUUGACGCCCAACUACUUUUAUAAAAAGAAAGAUACUUCUACAGAAUUUCUACACAACAGCUCAGCUGCUAAUGUUACUGAAUAAAAUGAUUUCUCCAACUCAUGUGAAAGGUA